RNAcentral lists this unclassified non-coding RNA (332 nucleotides) under soil metagenome. Its description in RNAcentral is "partial contains 5.8S ribosomal RNA, internal transcribed spacer 2, and large subunit ribosomal RNA". The stretch from base 1 to 120 matches the Rfam family "5.8S ribosomal RNA", at positions 35 to 154 of the family's 154-position model. The record is from RNAcentral.
GAUGAAGAACGUAGCGAAAUGCGAUACGUAAUGUGAAUUGCAGAUUUCAGUGAAUCAUCGAAUCUUUGAACGCACAUUGCGCCCGCUAGUAUUCUGGCGGGCAUGCCUGUUCGAGCGUCAUUUCAACCAUCAAGCCCUAGGCUUGCGUUGGAGCCCUGCGGCUGCCGCAGGCUCCCAAAUCCAGUGGCGGGCUCGUCGUCGUACCGAGUGCAGUAAACAUCCUCGCUCAGGGAACGUGACGGGUUCUUGCCGUGAAACCCCCCACAUAUCAAGGUUGACCUCGGAUCAGGUAGGAAUACCCGCUGAACUUAAGCAUAUCAAUAAACGGAGGA